UGGGGGGAUACAUAGAAAUUUUAAUUUAUGUGUUUUGUUUACUUAUUUUGUACUUUGUUUAAAUUUGUUUUUCAAAACUCUAAAAAAAUUUUAAAAUUUCUUUUUUUUUUUCUGUUUUUUUCUUGUAUGGUGCUUGAAAUAUGUUGGCAUUGGGAUUGACGAUGCCUACUGAACUAAAAUGGCGGAUACUUAUAGACCCAUAC
RNAcentral lists this long non-coding RNA (203 nucleotides) under Gossypium raimondii (Peruvian cotton). RNAcentral describes it as "long non-coding RNA (GRAI_LNC008491)". Lineage: Eukaryota; Viridiplantae; Streptophyta; Magnoliopsida; Malvales; Malvaceae. The record is from RNAcentral.